This 705-nucleotide long non-coding RNA is filed under the name Malus domestica (apple). RNAcentral's name for it is "long non-coding RNA (MDOM_LNC008229)". Lineage: Eukaryota; Viridiplantae; Streptophyta; Magnoliopsida; Rosales; Rosaceae. The record is from RNAcentral.
GAGUACUAAGGCUUCAAGUACUGAGGCUUCACAUAAGUGACAUUUGUGAAGGCUCCCUUUUUUUUUUUUUUUUUUUUUUUUACGCAUUUGUAAUUUCUUAGAGAUAUCAAUGGACAUGCUUUAUUUUAUUCAGUAUGUUGUGCUAAAUACAAAUAAAACGUACAUCUGACUAAAAUGCGUUACUUCCUUUUUUUUUUAAUUAAUUUUUUUUUAUAUGGUGCCUGACACACCCAUUUCCUUUUAGAUGGUGACUAAUGCACUAUUCUUUCACCCUUUUUUUUUUUUAGUUGGCACUUUCUUUUUGUACACAAUUGUAUUUUCCCAAUGCACCAUUUAGGAUAGCUGGCACCUUGCACUUUUUUGGCACUUUCUUUUUUGUACACCAUUGUAUUUUCCCAAUGCACCAUUUAGGAUAGCUGGCACCUUGCACUUUUUUGGCACUUUCUUUUUUGUACACAAUUGUAUUUUCCCAAUGCACCAUUUAGGGUAGCUGGCACCUUGCACUUUUUUUUUUCUUUAUAUAUGGUGCUUUGUAAGGAUGGAACUCGACGGACGGUGAGCUGCAGUCGAGGCUUCAUGACCGGCUAGUCGUUUGACGGCGGUUUAUUGAAGUUCUUCGUCAUUGUUGUUUGCCACGGACGAAGAGAAGGCCUUUGGGUGUGAGUUGGGCAAACUUUGGUUUUAUCAAUCACAUUCAAAGGCAGC